GCCCGGGUGGCGAAACUGGUAGACGCAAGGGACUUAAAAUCCCUCGGGGGUGACCCCAUGCCGGUUCGACUCCGGCCCCGGGCACCA
This 87-nucleotide transfer RNA is filed under the name Steroidobacteraceae bacterium. RNAcentral's name for it is "tRNA-Leu". It matches the Rfam family "tRNA". From Rfam's summary of the family: Transfer RNA (tRNA) molecules are approximately 80 nucleotides in length. Their secondary structure includes four short double-helical elements and three loops (D, anti-codon, and T loops). The record is from RNAcentral. Lineage: Bacteria; Pseudomonadati; Pseudomonadota; Gammaproteobacteria; Steroidobacterales; Steroidobacteraceae.